RNAcentral lists this ribosomal RNA (520 nucleotides) under uncultured Archaeospora. RNAcentral describes it as "SSU rRNA". It matches the Rfam family "Eukaryotic small subunit ribosomal RNA", at positions 569 to 1095 of the family's 1831-position model. Lineage: Eukaryota; Fungi; Glomeromycota; Glomeromycetes; Archaeosporales; Archaeosporaceae. The record is from RNAcentral.
AGCAGCCACGGUAAUUCCAGCUCCAAUAGCGUAUAUUAAAGUUGUUGCAGUUAAAAAGCUCGUAGUUGAAUUUUAGGCCUGACCGGACGGUCCGUCUCUGGCGAGUACUGUUUUGCUGUCGGGUCUAUCCUUCUGGUGAGCCGGUAUGCUCUUUAUUGGGUGUGUCGGAGAACCAGGACCAUUACCUUGAAAAAAUUAGAGUGUUUAAAGUGGGCUUUUGCUUGAAUAGAUUAGCAUGAAAUAAUAGAAUAGGACGUUGGUUCUAUUUUGUUGGGCUAGGACCACCGUAAUGAUUAAUAGGAAUAGUUGGGAACAUUAGUAUUCAAUUGUCAGAGGUGAAAUUCUUGGAUUUAUUGAAGACUAACUAUUGCGAAAGCAUUUGCCAAGGAUGUUUUCAUUAAUCAAAAACGAAAGUUAGGGAAUCGAAAACGAUCAGAUACUGUCGUAGUCUUAACCAUAAACUAUGCCGACUAGGAAUCGGGCGACGUUAUUCUCAUGACUCGCUCAGCGCCUUAUGGGA